CUCGUAGGCGGCCAACUAAGUCGGACGUGAAAUCCCUCAGCUUAACUGGGGAACUGCGUCCGAUACUGGAUGGCUUGGAUUUGGGAGAGGGAUGCGGAAUUCCAGGUGUAGCGGUGAAAUGCGUAGAUAUCUGGAGGAACACCGGUGGCGAAGGCGGCAUCCUGGACCAAUAUUGACGCUGAGGAGCGAAAGCUAGGGAGCAAACG
This 206-nucleotide ribosomal RNA is filed under the name uncultured bacterium. RNAcentral's name for it is "partial 16S ribosomal RNA". It matches the Rfam family "Bacterial small subunit ribosomal RNA", at positions 568 to 774 of the family's 1533-position model. The record is from RNAcentral.